This 253-nucleotide ribosomal RNA is filed under the name uncultured bacterium. Its description in RNAcentral is "partial 16S ribosomal RNA". It matches the Rfam family "Bacterial small subunit ribosomal RNA", at positions 524 to 776 of the family's 1533-position model. The record is from RNAcentral.
UACGUAGGGGGCUAGCGUUGUCCGGAAUCAUUGGGCGUAAAGCGCGCGUAGGCGGCCCGGUAAGUCCGCUGUAAAAGUCAAAGGCUCAACCUUUGAAUGUCAGUGGAUACUGCCGGGCUAGAGUCCGGAAGAGGCGAGUGGAACUCCUGGUGUAGCGGUGGAAUGCGUAGAUAUCUGGAGGAACACCGGUGGCGAAGGCGGCAUCCUGGACCAACACUGACGCUGAGGAGCGAAAGCCAGGGGAGCAAACGGG